GCUUAACGCGAAGAACCUUACCUGGGUUUGACAUGGCCGCAAAACUGUCAGAGAUGGCAGGUCCCUGGGGUCGGGUCGACAGGUGGUGCAUGGCUGUCGUCAGCUCGUGUCGUGAGAUGUUGGGUUAAGUCCGCAACGAGCGCAACCCUCGUUCGAUGUUGCUAGCGCGUUAUGGCGGGGACGUCAUCGAAGACUGCCGGGGUCAACUCGGAGGAAGGUGGGGAUGACGUCAAGUCAUCAUGCCCCUUAUGUCCAGGGCUUCACGCAUGCUACAAUGGCCGGUACAAUGGGCUGCGAUACCGUGAGGUGGAGCGAAUCCCAAAAAGCCGGUCUCAGUUCGGAUCGGGGUCUGCAACUCGACCCCGUGAAGUCGGAGUCGCUAGUAAUCGCAGAUCAGCAACGCUGCGGUGAAUACGUUCCCGGGUCUUGUACACACCG
RNAcentral lists this ribosomal RNA (438 nucleotides) under uncultured bacterium. RNAcentral's name for it is "bacterial SSU rRNA". It matches the Rfam family "Bacterial small subunit ribosomal RNA", at positions 954 to 1392 of the family's 1533-position model. The record is from RNAcentral.